CCUACGGGCGGCAGCAGUGGGGAAUAUUGGGCAAUGGGCGCAAGCCUGACCCAGCAACGCCGCGUGAAGGAAGAAGGCUUUCGGGUUGUAAACUUCUUUUCUCAGGGACGAAGCAAGUGACGGUACCUGAGGAAUAAGCCACGGCUAACUACGUGCCAGCAGCCGCGGUAAUACGUAGGUGGCAAGCGUUAUCCGGAUUUACUGGGUGUAAAGGGCGUGUAGGCGGGAAAGCAAGUCAGAUGUGAAAACCAUGGGCUCAACCUGUGGCCUGCAUUUGAAACUGUUUUUGUUGAGUACUGGGGAGGCAGACGGAAUUCCUAGUGUAGCGGUGAAAUGCGUAGAUAUUAGGAGGAACACCAGUGGCGAAGACGGUCUGCUGGACAGCAACUGACGCUGAGGCGCGAAAGCGUGGGGAGCAAACAGGAUUAGAUACCCGAGUAGUC
RNAcentral lists this ribosomal RNA (443 nucleotides) under uncultured bacterium. Its description in RNAcentral is "partial 16S ribosomal RNA". It matches the Rfam family "Bacterial small subunit ribosomal RNA", at positions 338 to 795 of the family's 1533-position model. The record is from RNAcentral.